RNAcentral lists this ribosomal RNA (507 nucleotides) under uncultured Lactobacillales bacterium. RNAcentral describes it as "partial 16S ribosomal RNA". Lineage: Bacteria; Bacillati; Bacillota; Bacilli; Lactobacillales. The record is from RNAcentral.
CACGUAGUUAGCCGUGACUUUCUAAGUAAUUACCGUCAAAUAAAGGCCAGUUACUACCUCUAUCUUUCUUCACUACCAACAGAGCUUUACGAACCGAAACCCUUCUUCACUCACGCGGCGUUGCUCCAUCAGACUUUCGUCCAUUGUGGAAGAUUCCCUACCGCUGCCUCCCGUAGGAGUUUGGGCCGUGUCUCAGUCCCAAUGUGGCCGAUCAGUCUCUCAACUCGGCUAUGCAUCAUUGCCUUGGUAAGCCGUUACCUUACCAACUAGCUAAUGCACCGCAGGUCCAUCCAAGAGUGAUAGCAGAACCAUCUUUCAAACUCUAGACAUGCGUCUAGUGUUGUUAUCCGGUAUUAGCAUCUUGUUCCGAGGUGUUAUCCCAGUCUCGUUGGGCACGGUUACCCACGUGUUACCUCCACCCGUCCGCCGCUCGUCUUGUAUCUUAGUUUCUAUUUUAGUGACUAAGCUAAAUAAAACUCAUACGUAAGGCAAGUCUACGCUCGACUU